AGUGAACGCUGGCGGUAGGCCUAACACAUGCAAGUCGAACGGCAGCACAGUAAGAGCUUGCUCUUACGGGUGGCGAGUGGCGGACGGGUGAGGAAUACAUCGGAAUCUACUUUUUCGUGGGGGAUAACGUAGGGAAACUUACGCUAAUACCGCAUACGACCUACGGGUGAAAGCAGGGGAUCUUCGGACCUUGCGCGAUUGAAUGAGCCGAUGUCGGAUUAGCUAGUUGGCGGGGUAAAGGCCCACCAAGGCGACGAUCCGUAGCUGGUCUGAGAGGAUGAUCAGCCACACUGGAACUGAGACACGGUCCAGACUCCUACGGGAAGCAGCAGUGGGGAAUAUUGGACAAUGGGCGCAAGCCUGAUCCAGCCAUACCGCGUGGGUGAAGAAGGCCUUCGGGUUGUAAAGCCCUUUUGUUGGGAAAGAAAAGCAGCAGGUUAAUACCCCGCUGUUCUGACGGUACCCAAAGAAUAAGCACCGGCUAACUUCGU
RNAcentral lists this ribosomal RNA (491 nucleotides) under uncultured bacterium. RNAcentral describes it as "partial 16S ribosomal RNA". It matches the Rfam family "Bacterial small subunit ribosomal RNA", at positions 29 to 506 of the family's 1533-position model. The record is from RNAcentral.